Molecule: non-coding RNA, 309 nt
Organism: Podarcis lilfordi (Lilford's wall lizard)
Lineage: Eukaryota; Metazoa; Chordata; Lepidosauria; Squamata; Lacertidae
Source: the annotation of a GenBank genome assembly
AGAUGUGAGGGUGAUCUGGCUGUGACAUCUGUCACCCCAUUGAUCACCAGGGUUGAUUCAGCUGAUCUGGCUGGCUAGGCGGGUGUCCCCUCCCUCCCUCACCGCUCCAUGUACAUCCCUCACGAAGCUGUGUGCACGGUGGAAUAGGACAACCGUCCCAGAUAGGAGUGUACUGUUCUUCGGUCAAGGGUAUACAAUAGCUGUGCUCCCCUGCUAGAACCUCCAAACAAGCUCAAGGUCCAUUUGUAGGCUCUUGGGUCUUUCCCAAGAUAUUUUACUUGAGGUCCUGGCAGCUGAGUCUGGGUCCUU